GACGAACGCUGGCGGCGUGCUUAACACAUGCAAGUCGAACGGAAAGGCCCUGCUUUUGUGGGGUGCUCGAGUGGCGAACGGGUGAUUAACACGUGAGUAACCUGCCCUUGACUUUGGGAUAACUUCAGGAAACUGGGUCUAAUACCUGAUAGGAGCUCCUGCUGCAUGGUGGGGGUUGGAAAGUUUCGGCGGUUGGGGAUGGACUCGCGGCUUAUCAGCUUGUUGGUGGGGUAGUGGCUUACCAAGGCUUUGACGGGUAGCCGGCCUGAGAGGGUGACCGGCCACAGUGGGACUGAGAUACGGCCCAGACGCCUACGGGAGGCAGCAGUGGGGAAUAUUGCACAAUGGGCGGAAGCCUGAUGCAGCAACGCCGCGUGCGGGAUGACGGCCUUCGGGUUGUAAACCGCUUUCGCCUGUGACGAAGCGUGAGUGACGGUAAUGGGUAAAGAAGCACCGGCUAACUACGU
This 467-nucleotide ribosomal RNA is filed under the name uncultured bacterium. Its description in RNAcentral is "partial 16S ribosomal RNA". It matches the Rfam family "Bacterial small subunit ribosomal RNA", at positions 28 to 506 of the family's 1533-position model. The record is from RNAcentral.